CAAUAGCGUAUAUUUAAGUUGUUGCAGUUAAAAAGCUCGUAGUUGGAUUUCGGUUAAGAGCGACCGGUCCGCCGUUUGGUGUGCACUGGUUGGUUUUAACUUCCUGUAGAGGACGUGCUCUGGGUUUAACGACCUGGACUCGGAGUCUACGUGGUUACUUUGAAAAAAUUAGAGUGUUCAAAGCGGGCUUACGCUUGAAUAUUUCAGCAUGGAAUAACACUAUAGGACUCCUGUCCUAUUUCGUUGGUCUCGGGACGGGAGUAAUGAUUAAGAGGAACAGUUGGGGGCAUUCGUAUUUCAUUGUCAGAGGUGAGAUUCUUGGAUUUAUGAAAGACGAACUUCUGCGAAAGCAUUUGCCAAGGAUGUUUUCAUUAA
This 375-nucleotide ribosomal RNA is filed under the name uncultured eukaryote. Its description in RNAcentral is "partial 18S ribosomal RNA". It matches the Rfam family "Eukaryotic small subunit ribosomal RNA", at positions 592 to 976 of the family's 1831-position model. The record is from RNAcentral.